This 468-nucleotide ribosomal RNA is filed under the name uncultured bacterium. RNAcentral describes it as "partial 16S ribosomal RNA". It matches the Rfam family "Bacterial small subunit ribosomal RNA", at positions 28 to 507 of the family's 1533-position model. The record is from RNAcentral.
GACGAACGCUGGCGGCGUGCUUAACACAUGCAAGUCGAACGGAAAGGCCCUGCUUUUGUGGGGUUCUCGAGUGGCGAACGGGUGAGUAACACGUGAGUAUCCUGCCCUUGACUUUGGGAUAACUUCAGGAAACUGGGGCUACUACCGGAUAGGAGCUCCUGCUGCAUGGUGAGGGUUGGAAAGUUUCGGCGGUUGGGGAUGGACUCGCGGCUUAUCAGCUUGUUGGUGGGGUAGUGGCUUACCAAGGCUUUGACGGGUAGCCGGCCUGAGAGGGUGACCGGCCACAUUGGGACUGAGAUACGGCCCAGACUCCUACGGGAGGCAGCAGUGGGGAAUAUUGCACAAUGGGCGGAAGCCUGAUGCAGCAACGCCGCGUGCGGGAUGACGGCCUUCGGGUUGUAAACCGCUUUCGCCUGUGACGAAGCGUGAGUGACGGUAAUGGGUAAAGAAGCACCGGCUAACUACGUG